UACGGAGGGGGCUAGCGUUGUUCGGAAUUACUGGGCGUAAAGGGUGCGUAGGCGGCCAUCCAAGUCAGACGUGAAAGGCCUGGGCUCAACCCGGGAACUGCGUUUGAGACUGGGCGGCUCGAGUCCGGGAGAGGUGAGCGGAAUUCCCAGUGUAGAGGUGAAAUUCGUAGAUAUUGGGAAGAACACCGGUGGCGAAGGCGGCUCACUGGACCGGUACUGACGCUGAGGCACGAAAGCGUGGGGAGCAAACAGG
RNAcentral lists this ribosomal RNA (253 nucleotides) under uncultured bacterium. RNAcentral's name for it is "partial 16S ribosomal RNA". It matches the Rfam family "Bacterial small subunit ribosomal RNA", at positions 524 to 776 of the family's 1533-position model. The record is from RNAcentral.